AGAGUUUGAUCCUGGCUCAGGAUUAACGCUGGCGGAAUGUAUAAUACAUGCAAGUCGAGCGAGAAGUUUUAGUAGCUUGCUACUGAAAUGGACAGCGGCGAACGAGCGAGUAACACGUUAGAACCUGCCCCGAACUCAGGGAUAAGCACUGGAAACGGUGUCUAAUACCGGAUAGUCUCGAAAGAGUAAAGAUUUUUCGGUUCGGGAGGGGCUUGCGGCCUAUCAGCUUGUUGGUGAGGUAAAGGCUCACCAAGGCUAUGACGGGUAACUGGUCUGAGAGGAUGACCAGUCGCGAUGGGACUGAGACACGGCCCAUACUCCUACGGGAGGCAGCAGUAGGGAAUCUUCCACAAUGGACGAAAGUCUGAUGGAGCAAUUCCGCGUGAUUGAUGAAGCGUUUCGGCGUGUAAAGAUCUUUUCUGGGGGAAGAAUUAUGACGGUACCCUAGGAAUAAGCACCGGCUAACUCCGUGCCAGCAGCCGCGGUAAUACGGAGGGUGCAAGCGUUAUCCGGAAUCAUUGGGCGUAAAGCGUCUGUAGGCGGUCAAAUAAGUAUGAUAUGAAAGACAAUGGCUCAACCAUUGGAACGUAUUGUAAACUGUUUAACUAGAGGACUGGAGGGGUGUGUAGAAUUCUGCAUGUAGGGGUAAAAUCCGUAGAUAUGCAGAGGAAUACCAAAAGCGAAGGCAGCACACUGGACAGUUCUGACGCUCAGAGACGAAAGCGUAGGUAGCGAACGGGAUUAGAUACCCCGGUAGUCUACGCCGUAAACGAUGAUCACUCGAUGUUAGGCUUUUCAAUCGGCCGAGUGUCCAAGCUAACGCGUUAAGUGAUCCGCCUGGGGAGUACGAUCGCAAGAUUAAAACUCAAAGGAAUAGACGGGGACCCACACAAGCGGUGGAGCAUCUGGUUUAAUUUGAUAAUAAGCGGGGAACCUUACCUGGCCUUGACAUCUUUUUGAAUCUUCUAGAGAUAGAAGAGUGCCUUCGGGAACAAAAAUGACAGGCGCUGCAUGGUUGUCGUCAGCUCGUGCCUUGAGGUGUUCGGUUAAGUCCGUGAACGAGCGCAACCCUAGUCAUGUGUUGAAUUUUUCACAUGAGACUGCCGGUUACAAAUCGGAGGAAGGUUAGGAUGACGUCAAAUCAGCAUGGCCCUUAUGGCCAGGGCUACACAGGUGCUACAAUGGUGCAUACAACGGGCAGCGAGACAGUAAUGUUUAGCCAAUUCCUUAAAGUGCAUCUAAGUUCGGAUUGAGGGCUGCAACUCGCCCUCAUGAAGUUGGAAUCGCUAGUAACCGCAUAUCAGCAAUGGUGCGGUGAAUAUGUUCCUGGGUCUUGUACUCACCGCCCGUCACGUCACGAAAGUUGGGGGCGCCCGAAGUACCUCGGUUCUGAGGUCCUAAGGUGAAACCAGUGAUUGGGACGAAGUCGUAACAAGGUAACC
RNAcentral lists this ribosomal RNA (1442 nucleotides) under uncultured bacterium. RNAcentral describes it as "bacterial SSU rRNA". It matches the Rfam family "Bacterial small subunit ribosomal RNA". The record is from RNAcentral.